Molecule: ribosomal RNA, 253 nt
Filed under: uncultured bacterium
Lineage: Bacteria
Description: partial 16S ribosomal RNA
Rfam family: Bacterial small subunit ribosomal RNA
Source: RNAcentral
UACGUAGGGGGCAAGCGUUGUCCGGAUUUACUGGGCGUAAAGAGCGCGCAGGCGGUCGUGCAAGUCGCGUGUGAAAGCCCCCGGCUCAACUGGGGAGGGUCACGCGAUACUGCUCGACUCGAAGGCAGGAGAGGGAAGUGGAAUUCCCGGUGUAGUGGUGAAAUGCGCAGAUAUCAGGAAGAACACCAAUGGCGAAAGCAGCUCUCUGGGACGGUACUGACGCUGAGACGCGAAGGCGUGGGGAGCGACCAGG